Molecule: ribosomal RNA, 253 nt
Filed under: uncultured bacterium
Lineage: Bacteria
Description: partial 16S ribosomal RNA
Rfam family: Bacterial small subunit ribosomal RNA
Source: RNAcentral
UACGUAGGGUGCGAGCGUUAAUCGGAAUUACUGGGCGUAAAGCGUGCGCAGGCGGUUUUGUAAGCCAGAUGUGAAAUCCCCGGGCUUAACCUGGGAAUGGCAUUUGGGACUGCAAGGCUGGAGUGUGGCAGAGGAGACUGGAAUUCCUGGUGUAGCAGUGAAAUGCGUAGAUAUCGGGAGGAACACCAGUGGCGAAGGCGACUACCUGGCCUGUUCUUGACGCUGAGGCGCGAAAGCUAGGGGAGCAAACGGG